CGGGGUAGGAGUAAACGCGUGAGGAACCUGCCUCAAAGAGGGGGACAACAGUUGGAAACGACUGCUAAUACCGCAUAAGCCCACAGCUCGGCAUCGAGCAGAGGGAAAAGGAGCAUCCGCUUUGAGAUGGCCUCGCGUCCGAUUAGCUAGUUGGUGAGGUAACGGCCCACCAAGGCGACGAUCGGUAGCCGGACUGAGAGGUUGAACGGCCACAUUGGGACUGAGACACGGCCCAG
RNAcentral lists this ribosomal RNA (236 nucleotides) under uncultured bacterium. RNAcentral describes it as "partial 16S ribosomal RNA". It matches the Rfam family "Bacterial small subunit ribosomal RNA", at positions 96 to 334 of the family's 1533-position model. The record is from RNAcentral.